CCGAUGGACAGUUCCUUACCUGCCGGGUCGGCCUCCGCAGAGAGUGGUGGUCUUGAAAACCCAGUUUUGGGAGAAUACCUGCCGCGCCUCCCGCCCAAAUACCCAGAGGUUUCAUAGCCGCCAUCGCUGCGGUGGAGGAGGCCGCCUGUUGCGUCCCACCCCACCAGAAAGCCUAACACUGGCCUGAAGCGUAAUCUUAAAGUGGUAGGGGAAAAUACCGAUCUAGCGCAGAGAGCAAAACACCUCCGUUCUGGGUUUAAUGGGCAGGUCUGGAGGUGAGGUAUGCCGUCCGCACUCAAUAAUUACUUGCAGGAUCGGAUUGUUUCUCCAGUGGGUGGGGACUGCAGGAUGUAGCAUUGAGUGAGCCUGGCAGAUUGAAAGAUAAAACAAGGGUGAUGAUAAAAACAAUUACACACUAACCCAUUUCCUCCUCCGUGAAAUGAGGGAAUGGCCCAGACAUUUUCCAGACCUCUUCUGUCCUAAGAGUGGAGCUGGGUGACAGAGCAGGUGCAAGCCGGCCUUUCCCUGCCUCCCCGGGGAACGCACUCUGUUCGGUGAGAGCAACUCAGCUCGCAUUGACUCCUUUCAGCUGCAGGAGUGUGGCCGUUCAGUUCUCAUUUGAACUGUUGACAACAGUUGUCUUCUGAGAAUCAUGAGUUAGAGCCUCCCUUUAGGCUUCUGACUCCCUCAAAAGUACCAGACAACACAAACUUUUCCCCUCUUGUUACCUUGGCUCUCUAAGCUGUAUCUACUUCUAUACAAGGCGAACAAUUUUGUCUUUUUAAAUUAAAAACAACAACAAAAGCA
RNAcentral lists this long non-coding RNA (807 nucleotides) under Homo sapiens (human). RNAcentral's name for it is "DOCK9 divergent transcript". Lineage: Eukaryota; Metazoa; Chordata; Mammalia; Primates; Hominidae. The record is from RNAcentral.